RNAcentral lists this long non-coding RNA (316 nucleotides) under Setaria viridis. RNAcentral describes it as "long non-coding RNA (SVIR_LNC007103)". Lineage: Eukaryota; Viridiplantae; Streptophyta; Magnoliopsida; Poales; Poaceae. The record is from RNAcentral.
CGAGGGGGGAUGAUCCCGAUACCCUGGACUUUGCUAGGACUAACCUUGCCUAGGACGUGGCGGAGGACAAGAAAGAUCAUGCUGAGCUACGGCAGUCAUCCUCUCGGAUUUCUGAGUUGUUAUUUGUAAGUAUGCUGACCAACCCAGAGAACCUAUAUCUUAAAUCCCGUUCCUUUGCAAUGCUCUGAUCUUUAGAGUGUAAACAAAAUCUGGCCAUGCAUGCUCAUAAGAGGGAAGACGCAAUUCACCAAGCUGAGGAGUAUUGCCUUAAGGCACAACUUGAGGCUGACCUCAAGAGGGCCAAAGAGGAUGUCGU